UGCAGUCGAACGAUGAUCCGCAUGCUUGCUAGCGGGGGAUUAGUGGCGAACGGGUGAGUAACACGUGAGUAACCUGCCCUUAACUCUGGGAUAAGCCUGGGAAACUGGGUCUAAUACCGGAUAUGACUCCUCAUCGCAUGGUGGGGGGUGGAAAGCUUUUUGUGGUUUUGGAUGGACUCGCGGCCUAUCAGCUUGUUGGUGAGGUAAUGGCUCACCAAGGCGACGACCGGUAGCCGGCCUGAGAGGGUGACCGGCCACACUGGGACUGAGACACGGCCCAGACUCCUACGGGAGGCAGCAGUGGGGAAUAUUGCACAAUGGGCGCAAGCCUGAUGCAGCGACGCCGCGUGAGGGAUGACGGCCUUCGGGUUGUAAACCUCUUUCAGUAGGGAAGAAGCGAAAGUGACGGUACCUGCAGAAGAAGCGCCGGCUAACUACGUGCCAGCAGCCGCGGUAAUACGUAGGGCGCAAGCGUUAUCCGGAAUUAUUGGGCGUAAAGAGCUCGUAGGCGGUUUGUCGCGUCUGCCGUGAAAGUCCGGGGCUCAACUCCGGAUCUGCGGUGGGUACGGGCAGACUAGAGUGAUGUAGGGGAGACUGGAAUUCCUGGUGUAGCGGUGAAAUGCGCAGAUAUCAGGAGGAACACCGAUGGCGAAGGCAGGUCUCUGGGCAUUAACUGACGCUGAGGAGCGAAAGCAUGGGGAGCGAACAGGAUUAGAUACCCUGGUAGUCCAUGCCGUAAACGUUGGGCACUAGGUGUGGGGGACAUUCCACGUUUUCCGCGCCGUAGCUAACGCAUUAAGUGCCCCGCCUGGGGAGUACGGCCGCAAGGCUAAAACUCAAAGGAAUUGACGGGGGCCCGCACAAGCGGCGGAGCAUGCGGAUUAAUUCGAUGCAACGCGAAGAACCUUACCAAGGCUUGACAUGGGCCGGACCGGGCUGGAAACAGUCCUUCCCCUUUGGGGCCGGUUCACAGGUGGUGCAUGGUUGUCGUCAGCUCGUGUCGUGAGAUGUUGGGUUAAGUCCCGCAACGAGCGCAACCCUCGUUCCAUGUUGCCAGCGCGUAAUGGCGGGGACUCAUGGGAGACUGCCGGGGUCAACUCGGAGGAAGGUGGGGACGACGUCAAAUCAUCAUGCCCCUUAUGUCUUGGGCUUCACGCAUGCUACAAUGGCCGGUACAAAGGGUUGCGAUACUGUGAGGUGGAGCUAAUCCCAAAAAGCCGGUCUCAGUUCGGAUUGGGGUCUGCAACUCGACCCCAUGAAGUCGGAGUCGCUAGUAAUCGCAGAUCAGC
Molecule: ribosomal RNA, 1289 nt
Filed under: Arthrobacter humicola
Lineage: Bacteria; Bacillati; Actinomycetota; Actinomycetes; Micrococcales; Micrococcaceae
Description: bacterial SSU rRNA
Rfam family: Bacterial small subunit ribosomal RNA
Source: RNAcentral